RNAcentral lists this ribosomal RNA (380 nucleotides) under uncultured bacterium. Its description in RNAcentral is "bacterial SSU rRNA". It matches the Rfam family "Bacterial small subunit ribosomal RNA", at positions 28 to 410 of the family's 1533-position model. The record is from RNAcentral.
GACGAACGCUGGCGGCGUGCUUAACACAUGCAAGUCGAGCGGUAAGGCCCUUUCGGGGGUACACGAGCGGCGAACGGGUGAGUAACACGUGGGUGACCUGCCCUCAGCUCUGGGAUAAGCCUGGGAAACCGGGUCUAAUACCGGAUAUGACUCCAUGACGCAUGUUGUGGGGUGGAAAGCCUUGUGCGGCUGGGGAUGGGCCCGCGGCCUAUCAGCUUGUUGGUGGGGUGAUGGCCACCAAGGCGACGGCGGGUAGCCGGCCUGAGAGGGCGACCGGCCACACUGGGACUGAGACACGGCCCAGACUCCUACGGGAGGCAGCAGUGGGGAAUCUUGCGCAAUGGGCGAAAGCCUGACGCAGCGACGCCGCGUGAGGGAUG